Molecule: ribosomal RNA, 512 nt
Filed under: uncultured bacterium
Lineage: Bacteria
Description: bacterial SSU rRNA
Rfam family: Bacterial small subunit ribosomal RNA
Source: RNAcentral
CCUGGCUCAGGAUGAACGCUAGCUACAGGCUUAACACAUGCAAGUCGAGGGGCAGCAUGAGAUUAGCUUGCUAAUCUUGACUGGCGACCGGCGCACGGGUGAGUAACGCGUAUCCAACCUUCCCCCUACUCAGGCAGUAGCCCGGUGAAAACCGGAUUAACUCCUGAUAGUUUCACUAGAUGGCAUCUGACGGUGAAUAAAGCUCAGCGGUAAGGGAUGGGGAUGCGUCUGAUUAGCUUGUUGGCGGGGUAACGGCCCACCAAGGCGACGAUCAGUAGGGUUCUGAGAGGAAGGUCCCCCACAUUGGAACUGAGACACGGUCCAAACUCCUACGGGAGGCAGCAGUGAGGAAUAUUGGUCAAUGGGCGCGAGCCUGAACCAGCCAAGUAGCGUUGCAGGAAGACGGCCCUAUGGGUUGUAAACUGCUUUUGUGCGGGAAUAAAGUCAGGGACGUGUCCCUGUUUGCAUGUACCGCAAGAAUAAGGACCGGCUAAUUCCGUGCCAGCCGCCGC